Molecule: long non-coding RNA, 5478 nt
Filed under: Nicotiana benthamiana
Lineage: Eukaryota; Viridiplantae; Streptophyta; Magnoliopsida; Solanales; Solanaceae
Description: long non-coding RNA (NBEN_LNC037460)
Source: RNAcentral
AACCCUAACUUCUUAUUUCUCUUCAGCAGCCACCUAUGAAACCCUCUUCUCCUCUCAAACUCUCUUGAAGGGUCUCAAAACCCUAGCCCUUCUCACCUUCUCCGACCAUAAUCUCACCGGAAUCCAUGGCUUUCCAGGCCAUGGACGGCCUGUACUUACCUUACUUCACUCCUAAACCAUGGGUGUUCGAGAUUUCUAGGUCUGACCUCGAUGGAGUUCGUUCAAAUCCUCUACAGAUCCGUGGUUCCAUGGCCUCUCCGGCCUUGCUCCGGCGUAUUCGAGCUUUAGGAGCCUAGUUAUGGCCAUCUCCAACUCGAGACCAGACUCUUAUCCAAGACUUAUCAUUUCUAGGAUUUCAGAGAAACCCUAAAGCUAUCCGAGGUUCCUUCUUAUUUUAUUUGCAUAGAUCUGUGGUGAAUCUAUGCUGUCUUCAAUCUUUUAAGACUUUUCCUCAAUUUUCCUAUUUUAAAAUUAGUUUGUUUUUGAUUUAGGGUUUCUGAAUAGUCUCAAAAUGACUUCUGUCUCUUCUUCUUCUUUUCUUUGUAUGAAUCUGUCUAUGCCAUGCUCUUGUGAGUUUUUCGCUUGUAUUCUUAUGUUGGUUGUAUUUUGCAUGUUCUUAUAUUUUGUGCCCUGUCAUUUCUUCUACUGGUCUCUAUAAGCAUGCUUUUACAUGUCUACCUCGUAUGUUCCUUUACUGUAUUUUUUUACUAAGCUUUUAAUCCUUCUUUGCCUUACUGGACCUCCGUUGAACUCUAAGCAUGUUUUAUUUACUCUUUCCUAAGUUAUACAUCACCUCUUUUCUCUUCUAAAACUUGCUUAAGUUCCGAGUCUUCUUUAAAACAUUUUCUUUAUGUUUUUUUCAGUAUGUUGCUUCAAACUUGCUACUGUGUCUGUGUGUUUACUCAUGAGGCUCUAAAAGAGACCUCUGAGUCCAUUUCAAUGUCUUUCCUUCCCCUCUGCAUUACACUCGAGUUGGAAACCCUAGGGUUUGGGGUUUUUGACAAGUUUGAUUGGGUGUUCGUACUAUGGUUCUAUUUUAGAACCCUGGGCUCUCUCAAACUCAUUUUUUGGGUCUGGGAAAUAAACUCGACCUCUCUGUUAUGACUCUAAAUAUUUUCUAUACGAUUAUUUCUUGUCUGUGCUGUUUGAGUGCCUUAUAUAUGAGAACCUUUCUUUCAAAACGCUUUUUGCCGACUUGUGAUUGAUUCCAAACGCCUUUUUCUAAGGUUUGAUUGAGUGCUACUGAUUUUCUUUGAAUUAAACCUCUUUUCACCCUUUUCUGGUAGGAUUCAUUCAUAACUCAAACCCUGAUUUUAAUACCUACUGAUUGAUUGCUUUUCCUUAUUUUCCCAAACCGUGCUAUUUCCUUAAAUAAGCUUCUAUGUAUUUGCCCCUAUUAUACUGAUUUGGAAAAGAUUUUAAAACAAAUACUUUCCUUAAUUAUUUUGCCCGUUUGAAUCAAAUAUCUUAACCAAAGGGAAAUUUUAUGUGAUUGAUUUCGAAAUUAUUCUCUUACCUUUUUCUUUCUCGUUUUCUGCACUAUAAAAGGGGGCUACCCUUUUGCACUUGGAAAACAUGAUUUUACAUGCUUGAGCAUUGACAUUUUCACAAAUAAAUUGCACUCUCACUCAUAGUAUUAACCACUCUGCUUUCUACUCUCUCUUUUUCCUAUAAUUCUGCUCUGUGUUUUCUGAAACAACUUUGAGUUCUCUUCGAGCCUUCAAGUAUUCUACUGAAAAUUUAAGUCUGCUCAUCUUGUUUUUACUUGUUGUGAUUGCUCUGUUGUUCUGCUUGUUCUUACUUUGCAACUAGUAUGUUCUUCCUAGUUAAAUAAUGCUCCUUCACUAUGUGUUUCUAUCCUAGUCUGUUAUGUUUUCUUUCACUAUGUUUCUGCCAUUACUGUAUUUAUGUGUCUUUACCCCUUUACCCCUUUGUGUGUGAGUUGUGGUUCCAGCCAUAGUAGCACUUUAACAUUGUUGUCUAUGACUCUGAACUGGGUUCUUUGAACUCCCCAACUCAAUCAAUUCCCACUUCCUUUUUCCCUUUUAUGUGUUUGAGCCUUGACUUGGGUCUGGUGGUUCCCUAAUCACUAUCCAGACUUAGGUCUGACCUUCAAAGGUCUGCUCCUAACUUUCUUAACCCAAACACGUGGUCAGGCAUGUGCUAGUCUGCACAUGUGGCUAGGUAUGACGACCAUUUGUUAUGGUUCUCUAUUUCCUUUUGCACUUUGCACUUACUCCUAGAAAUAAAUUCUGCCCCUCUCUUGCAAGCCAUGCUUUGGGACCCUUGAGCUCCCUCUGAACUUGGAUGCCUGAGAGCUGGCUAUUCCACACUGCACUAUUCUAAUUCUAAGUGGUAUCUAGAGUGUAAGCAAUGCCGGGAACCCUUGAGAUUCCUUGUAACUUUAAAACACUUUGGAUAAAGAGAAAGCUUUGGAAAUCUGGAUUCCGGAAUUGGUUAAUCACAUAUUAUUGGACAUUAAGAUUGAAUUAGGCAGUUUGGAUCUAGCUGUAGUCUUUGAUGUAUUUUAUAUCUUUCUCUUCUGGUUUGUAAUAAGUUGUAAAGAACUUGGGAAAUAUAGUAAAGGGUGUGGGAGGGGUUUUACUUUCUUGCGUCAGUAAGGGUAGAUAUCAUGCUCUAGGACUUUAAGUUUGCUUGCUACAAAUCCUGCUUAUAGGACCGUUCAAUAUUUCUAAUUCAAAGUCACCAAGAGACAUGUCUAUAGGGUUAACUAUUAACUAUACUACGAAUCACAUAGAAAACAUGCCUAUAGGAUUGAACGUUCGUGUUCUGUAACCAUGCAUAUAGAGAUCCUGCCUAUAGGAGUUUUAAAACUUUUCUGAAAAUUCAUUUACAAAUACCAUGUCUAUAAGGAAUGCAUAUUCAUUAGGCAUUUGUAGGGUUAACUAAAAUAGCCACCUAUUCACAAAUCUUGUGACAGAAUCUGAAAAUCAAAUAUAGAUAUCAUGACUAUAGGAUUCGCAUCAAGCUUGUCUGAUCCGUUUAAAGCAGUAAUAGUCUAUUAACUGGUCCUUAACGUCUUAACUCAGUAACGUUUUCAAAAGCCUUAAUCUUUUUGACAAUACUCUCUUGAAUCAGUGUACAUUUGAGUUCUUCAAGUCUGCAUCUUUUCUGAAAUGGUUACUUUUCUAAUAUUCUGCCUAAACGCUUUCCAACUAAAUUCUAGUUUUUCUGAACUCGUCUUUUAAAAAAAUAACUCUGCAGCUUACUCUUUUCUUUAGAUAGAUCUGUCUUUUUCUCUAAAAUUCUUCACAACUAUUUCUGUGUUUUAUACUUGGGUCGUCUGCUACCUUUUCUUUUAGCAUUCAUUUCUAAACUUACUGCAGACUGUUCUUUCUUUUAAAAACUCUUUUGCAUUAGAUUAUUUUCUGAAACCAGUACCUUCUAAAGAACUCACUUAAAAUACCUUAAAUUUUAACAAUUGGAUCCAAGUUGCCUAUGCAGGCUUUCUAUCUAAAUAUAUGUGUCAAACCAGUCCGUUCGCUUUUUAAUUUAAAGACCAAAUCAGUACAUUCCAAGACACGCUAAACUAAGUGGUUGUCUGAUUUAAGGGAUUUUCUUUGAGCCUUACCUAUUUGUUUGUUCAUUCCCUCUAUUUGUUACUUUUUUUGUAUGUCGAAACUAGAACUUUUUCCUUUGAACUCCAUAAAUGCCCCUACCCCCUUUCUUCCCUAUUAGGAUUAGAAGUCCUAAUACCCCGGGACUGAUAGGUUGGAACGGGUACUAGCAUGCAAUAAGUAAUCGAGACUAAACACGCUUUAAUAACAUAACGGGGUGGGAAGGGGUAGAAUGUGAAUAUGAUGACCGGUGCGCUAAUAUCACGGGCGACCCCUCGUUUGAGGAGUGAUUGCUAGAUAUUGCAUUGAUGUGAUCCAUUUUUUGUAUAAACCUAGGACCCCUCUCCCCUUUUUCUUUACUUGCAAAUGUUUUCUUCAAAUUAUGUUUUCUUAAAAAUAAUCCUUCUUUUUCUAAAAUUGUUUAUUCCUCUCUUCUUUUAAAAGCUUUCAAACUUAUUUGUAAUGACUAUGUGCAAACCUUAUUUGUUCUUUGAUCUUCUUAAAGUCGCAAUUAUAGCAUGAUUGGGAACCACACUAGUGGAUCUUGAGGGGUGCUUAACACCUUCCCCUCGAGAUAAUCUCUAAGCCCUUACCCAAACUCUGGUUUCUUCUUCUCAAUUUCUUCAUUCCUUUAAAAGUGUCAUAAUGCACGAUAAUCAUUAGGUGGCAACUCUCCAAAAAUUCCAAAACCCAAUUCUCGCAAAGUAAUAAGAGUUUUCCCCUCAUAAUGCCGUAUACCCAAUUUUCGGACUCCCGGGUUCGCGAUGUAGAAAAAGCGAGCAUCGAUAUUCCUCUCUUCUUUUAAAAGCUUUCAAACUUAUUUGUAAUGACUAUGUGCAAACCUUAUUUGUUCUUUGAUCUUCUUAAAGUCGCAAUUAUAGCAUGAUUGGGAACCACACUAGUGGAUCUUGAGGGGUGCUUAACACCUUCCCCUCGAGAUAAUCUCUAAGCCCUUACCCGAACUCUGGUUUUCUUCUUCUCAAAUUCUUAUCUCCUUAAAGUGUCCUAAUGCACUAUAAUCAUUAGGUGACGACUCUCCAAAAUCCAAUUCUCGGAAGAGAAUACAGAGUUGUCCUCCCAUAAUAUUGUAUACUCGAUUUCCGGACUUCCCGUCCACGAUAUGAAAAGAGGGGGCGUCGACACUUACAAUACCAAGUAUUCGAGGUCCCAGUUCAACCAGAAAAAGGCAUGUUGAAGCUAUCCUUGAUGAUAGAGUGAUUGAUGCCUCAAGGAAAGAUAAACAAGAGUUCUUGGUGAAAUGGCAGGGCUGUGAUGCAGAAGAGAAUACUUGGGAGAGGGGAACAAACCUCAAAGCUUACAAGAGCCUUAUUGAAGAUUGUUUGUCAAGUAAGGCGCCGAGAACGUCGCCAACUUAGGUGGGGGAGAAUGUCAUGGGCAGCUUUCCAGUCGUGCCCUAUGACUCCUUGGGUGCGCCCCGUGGCGUCAUAGCAAGCCUCUCAAGGCCUAGCGCAACGGACGACACCGUGGUCUUGGCCGCGCCAAGUGACAAGCGUACAGGUGCCUCUGUCGCCACACCGAUAUCCCUCGCCAACGCCCAGACGCAGGCAUAUGCCAAUAGCACCACGCGGGCAGACAAUGCCGCGCGCCCCGGCGGUGAUGCCAAAGAUGCUGCUACUGACAACGGACCUAUUUCUGCUUUGUAGAAAACUUAGUCCUUUUCAUUGUAAAUAUAUAGUAGUUUUAUUUCAAGUACUUCCAUUAUGUUUCUCUAGUUUAUUGAAGUCUAGUCUUGUAGCAUUGGAUUAUUUUUUUUAAGCAUUAUUAGGGGGGAUCAAUCAUUCAAAACUUAUAGCAAGCAAUAAUUCUCUGUACUGGUGUCUCUCCCCCUCGACACUGCCUUGCUUUUUCUGUAAUAGCAUUCAUUACUGCAAUCGAGCUG